Molecule: non-coding RNA, 135 nt
Organism: Triticum aestivum (bread wheat)
Lineage: Eukaryota; Viridiplantae; Streptophyta; Magnoliopsida; Poales; Poaceae
Source: Rfam
GUAGUACUCCCUCUGUCCCAAAAUUCUUGUCUUAGAUUUUUCUAGAUCCGGAUGUACCUAAUACUAAAACAUGACUUGAUACAUCCAUAUUUAGACAAAUCUAAGACAAGAAUUUUGGGACGAAGGGAGUAGUAA